Molecule: long non-coding RNA, 247 nt
Organism: Cottoperca gobio
Lineage: Eukaryota; Metazoa; Chordata; Actinopteri; Perciformes; Bovichtidae
Exons: 3
Source: RefSeq, a predicted model, not a curated record
GAUGGGAUCAAAGCUCAGAGUCUCACACUGGAUGGAUUGUUGCUGCAGUUAUCGGCGCUGUUUUAUUUGUAGUUCUUGGUGUUCUGGCUGUUCUUAUAUACAAGGGUUGCAUCAAACUAAAAGGUAAUAAAGGUUCUCCACCAGGUAAACAAGAGGGUUCAACAGGUGACAUCACAGACCCCCUUCAAGCUCCCUGAUCCGUGUGUGUGUGUGUUAAUGUACAUUUUAAAUCUGUGAGGUCUGUGGA